ACUGCUCAGUAACACGUGGAUAACCUGCCCUUGGGUCCGGCAUAACCCCGGGAAACUGGGGAUAAUUCCGGAUAACGCACAUAUGCUGGAAUGCUUUAUGCGUAAAAUGGAUUCGUCUGCCCAAGGAUGGGUCUGCGGCCUAUCAGGUAGUAGUGGGUGUAAUGUACCUACUAGCCUACAACGGGUACGGGUUGUGAGAGCAAGAGCCCGGAGAUGGAUUCUGAGACAUGAAUCCAGGCCCUACGGGGCGCAGCAGGCGCGAAAACUUUACAAUGCGGGAAACCGUGAUAAGGGGACACCGAGUGCUAGCAUCAUAUGCUGGCUGUCCAGGUGUGUAAAAUACACCUGUUAGCAAGGGCCGGGCAAGACCGGUGCCAGCAGCCGCGGUAAUACGAU
RNAcentral lists this ribosomal RNA (396 nucleotides) under uncultured archaeon. RNAcentral's name for it is "bacterial SSU rRNA". It matches the Rfam family "Archaeal small subunit ribosomal RNA", at positions 85 to 480 of the family's 1478-position model. The record is from RNAcentral.